Non-coding RNA from Cubamyces sp. BRFM 1775, 116 nucleotides. The record is from the annotation of a GenBank genome assembly. Lineage: Eukaryota; Fungi; Basidiomycota; Agaricomycetes; Polyporales; Polyporaceae.
GGCUACCUGGCGCAAUGGUAGCGCGUUUGGCUUCGAUCGCCGACGGCUACAAUGUGACUUCCACAGAACGUCACGGUCACACCAAAAGGUUGCAGGUUCGAGUCCUGCGGUGGUCA